Molecule: ribosomal RNA, 468 nt
Filed under: uncultured bacterium
Lineage: Bacteria
Description: partial 16S ribosomal RNA
Rfam family: Bacterial small subunit ribosomal RNA
Source: RNAcentral
GACGAACGCUGGCGGCGUGCUUAACACAUGCAAGUCGAACGGAAAGGCCCUGCUUUUGUGGGGUGCUCGAGUGGCGAACGGGUGAGUAACACGUGAGUAACCUGCCCUUGACUUUGGGAUAACUUCAGGAAACUGGGGCUAAUACCGGAUAGGAGCUCCUGCUACAUGGUGGGGGUUGGAAAGUUUCGGCGGUUGGGGAUGGACUCGCGGCUUAUCAGCUUGUUGGUGGGGUGGUGGCUUACCAAGGCUUUGACGGGUAGCCGGCCUGAGAGGGUGACCGGCCACAUUGGGACUGAGAUACGGCCCAGACUCCUGCGGGAGGCAGCAGUGGGGAAUAUUGCACAAUGGGCGGAAGCCUGAUGCAGCAACGCCGCGUGCGGGAUGACGGCCUUCGGGUUGUAAACCGCUUUCGCCUGUGACGAAGCGUGAGUGACGGUAAUGGGUAAAGAAGCACCGGCUAACUACGUG